This 301-nucleotide ribosomal RNA is filed under the name uncultured bacterium. Its description in RNAcentral is "partial 16S ribosomal RNA". It matches the Rfam family "Bacterial small subunit ribosomal RNA", at positions 509 to 809 of the family's 1533-position model. The record is from RNAcentral.
CAGCAGCCACGGGAAAACGGAGGGUGCAAGCGUUAUCCGGAUUUAUUGGGUUUAAAGGGUCCGUAGGCGGAUCUGUAAGUCAGUGGUGAAAUCUCACAGCUUAACUGUGAAACUGCCAUUGAUACUGCAGGUCUUGAGUAAAUUUGAAGUGGCUGGAAUAAGUAGUGUAGCGGUGAAAUGCAUAGAUAUUACUUAGAACACCAAUUGCGAAGGCAGGUCACUAAGAUUUAACUGACGCUGAUGGACGAAAGCGUGGGGAGCGAACAGGAUUAGAUACCCCCGUAGUCCCUGUCUCUUAUAA